Molecule: long non-coding RNA, 959 nt
Organism: Centropristis striata (black sea bass)
Lineage: Eukaryota; Metazoa; Chordata; Actinopteri; Perciformes; Serranidae
Exons: 2
Source: RefSeq, a predicted model, not a curated record
GCCACUGACUGGGAUACAGGAGGCCGGGUAUCAGAAAUGACAUGAACUACAGGAGCUUAAUGAAAAACAUUCCACAAGCAGACUAAAGAGGAUAAUAUGUCAGGUGGCCAUUGAAGAGCAGCUGAAAGAGCUUCCUGUCCACUCUUUUUAUUUCAGGGGGUCACUUUUGGACAUCCCAAAUAUGGUGUUUUUCUGUCAUUUCUGGCCAUAUUAUACUCUAAUAUGUAUCAACAGACUAUAAUUGACCCAUUUUAAGCAGUUUUUGGCAUUUUAGAAUGUGUCCAAUUUUGCCCCAAAUCGACAUGCUAUAGUAUGACUUUUUUUUCAGGGGGCCAUUUUUGGACAUCCCAAAAUAUGGUGUUUUUCUGUCAUUUCUGGCCAUAUUAUACUCUAUAUAUGGUGUUUUUUUGUUAUUUCUGAAAAGUCACCCUACUACAUGUAUCAACUGAGUGUAAUAAGACCAUUUACAUGAGAGUAUUUGGGGCAUUUAGAACUUCCAGACACUCCAGAGCUUUGUGUUAUGCUCCUCCUCCAUACUUGCCCACCGAUGUCUGGGUCUAUAAGAAAAGUAUAUAAUUUAACAUAAAUCCUUGUUUGAUCCGUUUAAAAAAGGAAAAUCGUGCAACUACAGAUAUGGUUUUCUGUACUUACAAGCCCAGGAUCGAACGUGAAAUAAUCCGAAAGUUAAACUUCAUUAACACAAUUCCAUAGCCUUUAUUUCAAUGGGCCGAAAGCUGAAAAACAUUGUAAACAAUAUCCAUUUAUUUAGAUAUUCCAGAAAUAAUCUCAUAAACUCUAGCUUCAUUCUACAUCUGCACAAAGAAGACAUAAUUUGACAGACACAUUACAUUUAAAGGGAACUCAACAGUCCAAUGGCCCUGUGACUCAAAACACUGAAUUAUAUUUAUUUAAAGACUAGAAAUGUGUGUUUCUGAUUUGAGAUAGAUAUGUUUUGCAUU